This 640-nucleotide ribosomal RNA is filed under the name uncultured Campylobacterota bacterium. RNAcentral's name for it is "bacterial SSU rRNA". It matches the Rfam family "Bacterial small subunit ribosomal RNA", at positions 1 to 618 of the family's 1533-position model. The record is from RNAcentral. Lineage: Bacteria; Pseudomonadati; Campylobacterota.
CGCGGCCGCAGAGUUUGAUCAUGGCUCAGAGCGAACGCUGGCGGCGUGCUUAACACAUGCAAGUCGAACGUGAAAGGGAGCAAUCCUGAGUAAAGUGGCGUACGGGUGAGUAACACGUAGGUAAUCUACCCCAGAAUCUGGAAUAACCUGCCGAAAGGCGGGCUAAUACUGGAUAGAGCGAUGGGAUCCGUAAUCGGAUCUUUCGGGAAAGGGAGCUCGCAAGAGCCUUCGUUUUGGGAUGAGCCCGCGUCUCAUUAGCUAGUUGGUGGGGUAAUGGCCCGCCAAGGCAGUGAUGAGUAGCUGGUCUGAGAGGAUGAUCAGCCACACUGGAACUGAAACACGGUCCAGACUCCUGCGGGAGGCAGCAGUGGGGAAUCUUGCGCAAUGGACGAAAGUCUGACGCAGCCACGCCGCGUGAGUGAAGAGGGCCUUCGGGCUGUAAAGCUCUGUCGAGCGGGACGAACAUCCAUGGGGUUAAUAGCCCCGUGGACUGACGGUACCGCUAAAGGAAGCACCGGCUAACUCUGUGCCAGCAGCCGCGGUAAUACAGAGGGUGCAAGCGUUGCUCGGAAUCAUUGGGCGUAAAGGGCAGGUAGGUGGUCUCGCUUGUCUGGGGUGAAAGCCUCGAGCUUAACUCAAG